RNAcentral lists this ribosomal RNA (229 nucleotides) under uncultured bacterium. Its description in RNAcentral is "partial 16S ribosomal RNA". It matches the Rfam family "Bacterial small subunit ribosomal RNA", at positions 568 to 796 of the family's 1533-position model. The record is from RNAcentral.
UGCGCAGGCGGGCGUGUAAGUCAGUGGUGAAAUACUGCCGCUUAACGGUAGAACUGCCAUUGAUACUGCAAGUCUUGAAUAUGGUUGAGGUAGGCGGAAUGUGUCGUGUAGCGGUGAAAUGCAUAGAUAUGACACAGAACGCCAAUUGCGAAGGCAGCUUACUAAGCCAUUAUUGACGCUGAGGCACGAAAGCGUGGGGAGCGAACAGGAUUAGAUACCCUGGUAGUCC